Cotesia glomerata is the source of this 475-nucleotide long non-coding RNA. RefSeq lists it as uncharacterized. The record is from RefSeq and is a predicted model, not a curated record. NCBI's taxonomy places the organism in Eukaryota, Metazoa, Arthropoda, Insecta, Hymenoptera, Braconidae. The transcript is spliced from 2 exons.
UGUCACGCGGGAUUUUAUUUUAUAAUUUAAUUUGAAAUAUACUUAAAAAUGACUGAUUGAGAUUGUGUGGCAAGGUAUGAUUUUAAAUGAUAAGAGUUCAAUUGAACUUAAUGUUGAUGUUUAUUUAGAAAUCGGAGAGAUGGAGUGAAUAGUUACAGCUCUCGGGGAGAAGUGAAGUCACAAAGUCUCAACUCUGACUGCUCAGCUUCACGUUCCCCCACUAUGGUUAUACGUAUACACCUAUACUAUUGCUAGAACUAACCUUAUACAUAGUGCGUAAUAUACUAUCUUACAUGUACUUAUAUAAACUUAUUUAUAUAUAACACUUAUUAUUUGCGGCUGCGGCCGGCUUACAUAUUCAUGUACCUGUAUUUACCUGGCUUUAAAUUCAGCACAGCGACCUAGGGAAACCGCAGAAAACCUGGUCGAGGCUUUUAAGGUAUUAUCUGCUCAAUAAAUUAUAUCAGAUGCGGAA